RNAcentral lists this long non-coding RNA (1010 nucleotides) under Homo sapiens (human). RNAcentral describes it as "HSALNT0302899". The record is from RNAcentral. Lineage: Eukaryota; Metazoa; Chordata; Mammalia; Primates; Hominidae.
CAAUGAGAAACAAUAUUCAGGUCAGGUCAAAGCCUAGAGAAAAAUGCGCAUUCAGAAGUGGGCUGCCAUCCUGCUUUUUCUGAAGUGAACAGCUGCUGGGUAUUGAAACCAGCCCUCACGGUUGGGUCCCUGCCACCAUGGCAACACUCUGGUUUCUGAGCUGGAGUGGCCAAGGCACAAUGGGGUGGUUCCAUGGCCCAGAAGCACUCUAGCUACAGAUUAGAAUGAUGACAAGAGUAAUACCUUCCUAGUGAAGAUGACUUUUAUUUCAGGACUAUAUUAAGUUUCCCAACUUCUGUCAUGAUAUAGUCCAAAGAGAACCUGGACCACGCAGACAUCAAACAGAACAUGACACUGACCCAUUCUAUCAGUGACGUUGUGCUGAUUGCACAGGACAGAUGAGAGGCUCGUAUACUAGAAGUCUUGGUGGUUAUCAAACCUGGGUCAAAGUUGAAUCACCUGAGGAUCUUUUAGAACAUACACAGUCAUAUGAUACUUCAAAAUCUGUGAUUCCAUGAAGCCAAGAGUAGCUCUUCAACAGGAAAUGAAUGAGUGCUUCAGCUUCUGAUCCCAUUAGUAAGAAAAUACAGUCUUAUGAGCAAUGAUGGAGCUGCAUCUCUUAGGGGCAUUUGAUUCCCAAGAGACCAAAGAGCAAAGAGAAUGUCAAUUUAAAAAAAUCAAAUGUUUCCAUGACUUAGCUAUUUAACUGCUUUAAAAUGAAUGAAUGCUGCUUCAAGUUCUUUCAAAUACCCCACAUCUUGGCAACAACGAAAGGAAUUAACAUGAAGAAAAUUUACAAUCUUUCAUCACAUCGAACAAUGUCCCACAUUUGAAAAGUUCACAGCACAGAUUUCUGGUUACUGAAAGAAAGGAAAGACCUUCUUUGGAUUUGAAUAAACAGAUGGACUUUCUUCUCCUUUUUCUUAUAGUGCCCGAUUUGUGUAAAGGGAGGUGGGAAGAAAACAUCUUAGCUUAAAAGAGUGUCCUAUAAAAUAAAAGGUUUCAUACUU